GAGAGUACCCGGAGAAAAAGCAUCGGCUAACUCCGUGCCAGCAGCCGCGGUAAUACGGAGGAUGCGAGCGUUAUCCGGAUUUAUUGGGUUUAAAGGGUGCGUAGGCGGAUCGUUAAGUCAGUGGUCAAAUUGAGGGGCUCAACCCCUUCCCGCCACUGAAACUGGCGAUCUUGAGUGGAAGAGAAGUAUGCGGAAUGCGUGGUGUAGCGGUGAAAUGCAUAGAUAUCACGCAGAACCCCGAUUGCGAAGGCAGCAUGCCGGCUUCCGACUGACGCUGAAGCACGAAAGCGUGGGGAUCGAACAGGAUUAGAUACCCUGGUAGUCCACGCGGUAAACGAUGAGCGCUAGGUGUCCGGGGGGAAUGGCCCCUGG
RNAcentral lists this ribosomal RNA (372 nucleotides) under uncultured bacterium. RNAcentral's name for it is "bacterial SSU rRNA". It matches the Rfam family "Bacterial small subunit ribosomal RNA", at positions 471 to 842 of the family's 1533-position model. The record is from RNAcentral.